Molecule: ribosomal RNA, 253 nt
Filed under: uncultured bacterium
Lineage: Bacteria
Description: partial 16S ribosomal RNA
Rfam family: Bacterial small subunit ribosomal RNA
Source: RNAcentral
UCCGAAGGGGGCUAGCGUUGCUCGGAAUUACUGGGCGUAAAGGGCGUGUAGGCGGUCCGUCUAGUCGGAUGUGAAAGGCCCGGGCUCAACCCGGGAACGGCAUUCGAUACUGGCGGACUUGAGUCCGGGAGAGGAUAGUGGAACUCCCAGUGUAGAGGUGAAAUUCGUAGAUAUUGGGAAGAACACCAGUGGCGAAGGCGGCUAUCUGGACCGGUACUGACGCUAAGGCGCGACAGCGUGGGGAGCAAACAGG